This 941-nucleotide long non-coding RNA is filed under the name Anas platyrhynchos platyrhynchos (common mallard). RNAcentral's name for it is "lncRNA (ENSAPLG00000016570.1)". The record is from RNAcentral. Lineage: Eukaryota; Metazoa; Chordata; Aves; Anseriformes; Anatidae.
UUUUUAUUUACACUCCCACUAAUGUGUAAGUUAGGCUUUAAGUAAUUGUUUCUAUUAUGCAGGCUGACUAUUCAAACAGAUAUUGCCCCAGCCUGAUUUCUUUUGUUCAAAAAUAAAAGAACAAUCUCUUUGGAUACAUGCAGAGACCAUCAGGGGAAGCAUUAGAAGGACUGCAGUGAUCAGGAAAAUGCAAGAGCAUAAUAGAAGCAAGUUUAAAUUUGAUAGCACGUAAAGAAAAUGAUAUGCUUCUGCUUCUAAGCAAGGUGUCUUUAAGCUGUGAAGAAUUUGUAAUGGAAUGACUGAUACAGUGUUUUAUACUCGUCCUUUGAUUUCAAAAUAUUGCAAGGCAGAAUUGAUGAAGACACCUCUGAAAUAGUGAAGAACUAAGUUCAGAGAUGCUCUCUGUGAAAGCUGAAGAUCGAAGCAGAGUGUAUUAGCAUGCUGCAAGUGAUUGCUUUGUAAUUUAAGAAAGGUGGUGGAAAACGCUUUAACCUGAAUCCACACCUUAAAGUAAUUAGUAUUAGGAUAAUUACAAAAACUGUAGACUAUUAGCCCUUAAAAAAAAAAAAAAGAAGGAAAAAAAAGAAAAAAGAAAAACAAUAGACUCAACAGAUUCCCAAAUGCUAGAAUAUUCCUGUUCUAAAAUUCAAAACAAAUUUUGGAUUCAGGAUGUAAGGAAUGAGUAUAGUUACAACAACAAAAACAACAAAAACCCUCUGGUUCAAAACUGUGGCAAGAAAUUCUUGAGAAAGGAGAAGGUGACAGAGUUUGGAUGCAGAUUAGAAUUCAGUUGCUGUGUUAGUGCAGCAAAAGAAUUCCCUACCUGAGAGCAUUGUAAAGUCUGAGAAAAACAUCACCAUUAUCCAGAAAGGUCACCAAAAGAAACCAAUUAGAACUCUGGAAGGAAUAAAUCUUUAAUAAUGCCCUCCCUGGAAAGGUCA